Molecule: unclassified non-coding RNA, 336 nt
Filed under: uncultured fungus
Lineage: Eukaryota; Fungi
Description: partial contains small subunit ribosomal RNA, internal transcribed spacer 1, and 5.8S ribosomal RNA
Rfam family: Eukaryotic small subunit ribosomal RNA (bases 1-73)
Source: RNAcentral
ACAAACUUGGUCAUUUAGAGGAAGUAAAAGUCGUAACAAGGUUUCCGUAGGUGAACCUGCGGAAGGAUCAUUAUUGAAUUUUUAAAUCCAACUUUUGCUUGUGCAUUAGCUUGCACGCCUCGGUUGGCUCUUUAAAUUUUUCCACACACCUGUGCACUUCGGGCGUGUCGCGGAGCGUUUGUCGCUCGCGGCGAUGCGUCUCGUUUUUUUACACCUUUUUUGUAUGUCUAUUUGAAUGUAAAUUUCGGUUACUCUGUAGUGGGGUAGUCGUAUUUAAAAAGAAAUACAACUUUCAGCAACGGAUCUCUUGGCUCUCCCAUCGAUGAAGAACGCAGC